AUGGACGGGCUCCUGUCCAAGCUCCGGAGCCUGGACGCGUACCCCAAGGUGAACGAGGACUUCUACAGCCGCACCCUCUCCGGCGGCGCCAUCACGCUCGCCUCCUCCUUCAUCAUGCUCCUCCUCUUCGUCUCCGAGCUCCGAUUGUAUCUUCAUGCAGUUACAGAGACAACACUAAGGGUUGAUACCUCAAGAGGAGAAAAACUUCGCAUAAAUUUUGAUAUCACCUUUCCAGCCCUUCAGUGUUCUAUAAUUAGUGUUGAUGUGAUGGACAUCAGUGGACAAGAGCACCUUGAUGUGAAACAUGAUGUAUUCAAGCAGCGAAUCGAUGCACAUGGCAAUGUUAUUGCAACUAAGCAAGAUGCAGUUGGUGGGAUGAAGGUGGAAAAACCUUUACAACAUCAUGGUGGAAGGCUUGAACACAAUGAGACCUAUUGUGGCUCAUGUUAUGGUGCACAAGAAUCUCCUGAACAAUGUUGUAACUCGUGUGAAGAUGUCCGUGAAGCAUACAGAAAAAAAGGUUGGGGCGUAUCAAAUCCAGAUUCGAUCGAUCAGUGCAAAAGCGAGGGCUUCCUUCAAACAAUAAAGGAUGAAGAAGGUGAAGGAUGCAACAUUUAUGGCAUUCUGGAAAUUAACAAGGUUGCUGGGAAUUUCCACUUUGCUCCAGGGAAAAGCUUCCAGCAGUCAAAUGUUCAUGUUCACGAUCUGCUUCCAUUCCAAAAGGAUAGCUUCAAUCUCAGCCAUAAGAUAAAUAAAUUGAGUUUUGGAGAACCCUUUCCUGGUGUGAUCAAUCCCCUUGAUGGGGCGCAAUGGAUCCAGCAUUCAUCAUAUGGAAUGGCUCAAUACUUUGUUAAGGUUGUUCCCACUGUAUACUCUCACCUAAAUGAGCAAAUUAUUCUCUCCAAUCAGUUUUCUGUGACAGAACAUUACAGAAGUGGCGAUAGUGGUCGGGUACAAGCUCUUCCUGGCGUGUUUUUCUUUUAUGACCUUUCACCAAUUAAGGUCACGUUCACGGAGCGCCAUGUGUCAUUCUUACACUUCUUAACUAAUGUAUGCGCUAUUGUUGGAGGUGUGUUCACUGUUUCUGGAAUCAUAGAUUCGUUUGUCUACCAUGGCCAGAGGGCAAUCACCAAGAAGAGGGAACUCGGCAAAUUCACCUGA
This 1161-nucleotide ribosomal RNA is filed under the name Triticum aestivum (bread wheat). Its description in RNAcentral is "partial small subunit ribosomal RNA". The record is from RNAcentral. Lineage: Eukaryota; Viridiplantae; Streptophyta; Magnoliopsida; Poales; Poaceae.